RNAcentral lists this long non-coding RNA (467 nucleotides) under Elaeis guineensis (African oil palm). RNAcentral's name for it is "long non-coding RNA (EGUI_LNC074694)". Lineage: Eukaryota; Viridiplantae; Streptophyta; Magnoliopsida; Arecales; Arecaceae. The record is from RNAcentral.
UAACCUUAAGCUCAAAUACCACUUAAGUCAUAUUCUCUAGUGAUCAUAAUCUAAACUUUAUAUCAUUCUAUCACGUUCUUAAUGAUCAUAAUCUUAAGCUCUGAUAUUAUCCAUUAUACUCCACUCGGUCACAUCCUAUUGAUCAUACAUAAAGUUUUGAUAUCACUUUAUAAUCUCAAUGAUCUUAAACCUAAGCUCUGAUAUUAUUCUAUCAUAUCCUAAUCAUUUAUAUCAUAAUCCCCAAUGAUUAUAACCUAAGCUCUGAUACCAUAAGAUGUCACGCCCCAAAUCCAGGACAUAACACGGCCAUGCUACCGAGGGAUGGAGCCCACGAUAACACGAAGCCAAUUCAUCAUAAUCAUCUAAAAUCCGUCAAAUAAAAAGAUUCAAUUCUAUUAUUCAUCAAAUAAUCGAACCAAUAUGGGUUCAGAGCAUCUAAAUCCAAAAGCAAGUACUAACCCGAAUCU